GGUUGGUUAGCUCAGUUGGUUAGAGCGUCGUACUAAUAAUGCGAAGGUCAUGAGUUCGACCCUCAUACUGACCA
Molecule: transfer RNA, 74 nt
Filed under: Rosellinia necatrix
Lineage: Eukaryota; Fungi; Ascomycota; Sordariomycetes; Xylariales; Xylariaceae
Description: tRNA-Ile
Rfam family: tRNA
About the family: Transfer RNA (tRNA) molecules are approximately 80 nucleotides in length. Their secondary structure includes four short double-helical elements and three loops (D, anti-codon, and T loops).
Source: RNAcentral